GGAACCAGAGACAGUCCCAGAUAAAUGGGUUAUUCUACAUCAUCAGUUUGCAAGGACAGAUGCUGUAAAGCAGAUAUAACUUUAGAGCUCUCUUGUGUUCAUUUCCUCCAGAUUACAGUGACACAUAAAGAUAAGGUUUGGUUUCAAGGGAGCUGUGUCUGGCUGGACCUGCACCAGCUGCCCAAUGCACUUACUUAAGAGUAAUGUGGUCUAGAUUCAUUUCUCAGAGGCUCAUUUCCCACUGCCGUUUUAUGUGCAUACCACUGGAGUCCUGUGCAGAAUCACCAAGGACACUGAGACUACCAAAACCAAAGUGCAAAAGCUGGCAGAUGGACCUGUACCAUAUCAGCAUUGCUUUGUGUCAUGCUUUCAAGAAUGAUAACAGAACCAACAAAAUUAUUUUAUUUUCUGCUCUGUGCACACUGCAGAGAAAUUUCAGACGCUUUUUGGAAACAAGCCAGGCUUGCUGAAUCUUUGGUAGGGAUGUUUUGAGACAGAAAACAGAAACUCAUGCUUGUGUAGUCUACGGACGCUUAGGGAUAAAAGAUGACUCCUAUCACAUACAUCAACCAAGAAACCCAUCUGGGGCUGGAUAUAGUGAAGAUUUUAGUUACAAAUGCCGGCCUUUACAGGUAACCUAAAGAUUCAAACAAAGCUGAGACCCCCUCAAACAUAACCUCACAUUCAGUAAAACAAUUCACAAUUAUAACAUCCACAGAAUCAGCACAAGUCUUUUCUGGGAUUUUAUUUUUACUGAGAUACGGAGAACGAUUUCACAGUCUUAUUUGUGCCUAACAUAUGGAAUGAACCUGCCAUCAUUUUGGGGUGUACAUAUAUACACACACAAACACACACACGUGAUUGUACUGUCCUUCUGAAAUGGAUAUCUGACCCAGAAAUAUGAGGUACAUUAAAAUUCAAGUUUAAAAACUUGCACUUAA
Passer domesticus (house sparrow) is the source of this 941-nucleotide long non-coding RNA. RefSeq lists it as uncharacterized. The record is from RefSeq and is a predicted model, not a curated record. Lineage: Eukaryota; Metazoa; Chordata; Aves; Passeriformes; Passeridae. The transcript has 3 exons.